CCAGACUCCUACGGGAGGCAGCAGUGGGGGAUAUUGCACAAUGGGGGAAACCCUGAUGCAGCGACGCCGCGUGUGGGAAGACGGUCCUCUGGAUUGUAAACCACUGUCCCCAGGGACGAAGAUGACGGUACCUGGGGAGGAAGCUCCGGCUAACUACGUGCCAGCAGCCGCGGUAAUACGUAGGGAGCGAGCGUUGUCCGGAAUUACUGGGUGUAAAGGGAGCGUAGGCGGGACUGCAAGUUGGGUGUCAAAUCUACCGGCUCAACCGGUAGCCGCACUCAAAACUGCAGUUCUUGAGUGAAGUAGAGGCAGGCGGAAUUCCUAGUGUAGCGGUGAAAUGCGUAGAUAUUAGGAGGAACACCAGUGGCGAAGGCGACUUUCUGGACUGUACCUGACGCUGAGGCGCGAAAGCGUGGGUAGCGAACGGGAUUAGAUACCCUUGUAC
This 445-nucleotide ribosomal RNA is filed under the name uncultured bacterium. RNAcentral describes it as "bacterial SSU rRNA". It matches the Rfam family "Bacterial small subunit ribosomal RNA", at positions 331 to 793 of the family's 1533-position model. The record is from RNAcentral.